Microcebus murinus (gray mouse lemur) is the source of this 726-nucleotide non-coding RNA. NCBI's taxonomy places the organism in Eukaryota, Metazoa, Chordata, Mammalia, Primates, Cheirogaleidae. The record is from RefSeq and is a predicted model, not a curated record.
GUCUCCUCGAUGAUGCGGUUGUUCACCUCCAGCAGGAUCAUGGCGGCGGCUGCCCCGAGCAGGGGAAGGAGAAACAAGGACCUGGCCCCAGAAGCCUCAACCCGCCUGCCGAGCCGCCGCCGCCGCUGCUGCCGCCUCACCGAGAAGCCCGGUCCCCGCCCAGCCCCCGGCUCUAGCCGGCCACUUCCGCUCUCACACCCACUUCCGCUCGCCGCCGGGACGCGCGGCCCUGCGGCACCAUUUCCGCUCCGACCCCUCGUGCACGCGCGCGCCGGGGCGCCGGGAGGGGGUUAGGAGGAGACUGAUCGUGCGCAUGCGUGAUACCAUCGUCCCGCCCCUACUUUCCCACAGACGUCUCCUCACAUCCACCCCCUACCACCCACCGAGCUGUCAUUCCCCAGUGCUUGUCUCACUGCCCGUCUUCCUCACGCUUUUUCCUGGAGGUCCAAUUCCACCCUUCUGGUCUUCUCAUUUCAGAGACCCCCGCAAGAAGCUCGCCCUUGUCAUCUCCCAGCGGGACUCUUUGCUCUCAGCUUGUGGGUGCCCCUUUUUCAUUCCAGGUUAAUGGCUCCUCACGCAUGCAUUUCUCCAACAAGUAAAUACUUAGUGGGCUCCUGGUCUGCGCUGGGGAUACAGCGCGGUAAAUGAAACAGACGAGGUCCUGCUCUCGUGAAACUUACAGUCUGCAGAAGGAAACAGGCAAUAAACAAAUUCUUAAUUAUGUAA